RNA transcript from Hippocampus zosterae (dwarf seahorse), 2265 nucleotides. It is a transcript of the gene named 6-phosphofructo-2-kinase/fructose-2,6-bisphosphatase 4-like, with no coding region annotated. Lineage: Eukaryota; Metazoa; Chordata; Actinopteri; Syngnathiformes; Syngnathidae. The transcript is spliced from 14 exons. The record is from RefSeq and is a predicted model, not a curated record.
GCCGACGUCUUCCGUCGUCACGCGCGCUGUCGCUGUGACGACGGACGACGCGGAAAUGUGGCUGCGCGCGCAUUGGGGUCGUUACGACCAAUCGUGGCGGCGCGUGACGUCACAUAGCGCGAUCAAGUGGGAGGCUGCCGAGACGGAGGCGGGCGGUCGCAUCCUAGUCCCUCGAGCUCCGACCAUGAAGCCCCGGUCACCUUCGGAGGAGCAUCACGGGAAAAGACCCCGAGUGCCCCCCGCGGCGGCAUCCACGUCGCCGCAGGACGCAAUGGAAGACACGCCGCCCUCGCCUCUGACUUCGAAUCUGAAUCCGCGGGAACUCACCCAAAAUCCCCUCAAGAAGAUUUGGAUGCCGUGUAAAAAUGGCCUGCCUGAGAGGCACAUUUCUCAAAGGAAGGUAUGUAUGACCAACUGCCCUACCCUGAUCGUGACGGUGGGCCUUCCUGCCAGGGGGAAGACCUACAUCUCCAAGAAGCUGACUCGCUACCUCAACUGGAUCGGGGUUCCCACCAGAGAGUUCAACGUAGGACAGUACAGGAGAGAGUGUGUGAAGAUCUACAAAUCCUUUGAGUUCUUCCGUCCAGACAAUGAGGAAGGAUUAGAGAUCAGAAGACAAUGCGCUUCGGCCGCUCUAAACGAUGUACGGCAGUACCUCGCGGAAGGAGGAGGCCAAGUUGCGGUUUUUGACGCGACAAAUACCACCAGAGAGAGGAGGGAAACCAUCAUCGAGUUUGCGGAGCAGAAUGGCCUCAAGGUGUUCUUUGUGGAGUCUGUGUGCGAAGACCCCGAUGUGAUCCAGGAGAAUAUCGUGCAAGUGAAGCUGGGCAGCCCCGACUACACAAAUUGCAACACCGAGGAGGCGGUGGAAGACUUCAUGAGGAGGAUCAAAUGUUAUGAAAACUCGUAUGAAACUCUGGAUGAGGUCUUGGACAGGGAGCUCUCCUACAUCAAAAUUAUGGACGUGGGUCAGCGCUACUUGGUCAACCGGGUCUUGGACCACAUCCAGAGUCGGAUCGUCUACUAUCUCAUGAACAUCCACAUCACGCCUCGCUCCAUCUACCUGUGCCGCCAUGGCGAGAGCGAGCUCAACGUCAAGGGUCGCAUCGGGGGGGACUCGGGGCUCACGGCCAGAGGCAAAGAGUUUGCCAAGAAGCUGGCCCACUUCAUCCGGGCUCAGGGCAUCAACCGGCUGAAGGUGUGGACCAGUCAAAUGAAGAGAACCAUCCAGACGGCCGAAGCUCUCGACGUGCCCUACGAGCAGUGGAAGGUCCUCAACGAGAUUGACGCCGGUGUAUGUGAAGAGAUGAUGUAUGAAGCGAUUCAAGAGCACUACCCUCUGGAGUUUGCACUGCGGGACCAGGACAAGUACCGUUACCGCUACCCGAAAGGAGAGUCCUACGAGGACCUGGUGCAGCGGCUGGAGCCGGUCAUCAUGGAGCUGGAGAGGCAGGAGAACGUGCUGGUCAUCUGUCACCAGGCCGUCAUGCGCUGCCUGCUGGCCUACUUCCUGGACAAGACCGCAGCACCACGUCCCGUGAUGGUCUUUGUGUCUGUUUGCACCCAGAGGAGCUGCCCUACCUCAAGUGUCCGCUGCACACCGUGCUGAAGCUCACGCCGGUGGCCUACGGGUGUAAGGUGGAGUCCAUCAGCCUCAACGUAGACGCCGUCAACACGCACAGAGAGAAACCAGAGAACGUGGAGGUGUCGCGGAUGUCGGAGGAGGCUCUGCUUACCGUGCCGGCCCACCAAUGAGGCGGCGCACCUCCACGGGGCCUCGUUCGCGCAACCCGCCCCGCCUCUUUGCUCUCCGCCGUCCGCGCUGCCUGCACUGCACUCGCGUGUCCGCUCGCGGGUGACGCCAUCGAUGAUCGCUGACUGGCAUCCAGUUCACUCUUGAUUAUUUCUGAAAAUAUGACGCGGAGCUCGUUGUUGUCGUGCGCACGCUCCCAUUUGGGGAGAACAAAUGAAGGGACUGCUGUGCGCAUGUGAAGUUUUGUCCCAUGAAGUUUUUCCUUCUUUUCUUUUCCCCUCACCACUUUGAACCGAUGUAACGCUGUUAGUUUGUUUUUGUUUAACGCAAAGCUACUUGUACUUUUACAGCAUUGCACAUUGUCUGUUUCAAAUUCUUACACAAGUGCGUAGAAUGUCUCAAGUGAAAAUCAUGGAAGUCUCGCUCCGCUUUUUGACGGUGUCGUUUUUUCCUCCAGUCACAGACCUGACGGAAAAAGAUGUGUUGUUCCUAAAUAAACUCCCUUCACUCAA